GUUUCAUAACCUCAUAACAGGCUAACAUAGGUUACACAAUGGAAAAGGAAACACUAAAAUAAAGGAUCACAAUACAUCACAUGGAGCACAAAAGCACGUCCAACACAUAAUACUAACAACAACCACACAUCAUAGCAAUCACAUAACACACAGGCUUGAUGGACAACAAACAAGUAGUUAAUUAAGCAUUGACAGUGUUGACACACAUGUCGCUUAACAAGGAUUAACAAAAUUAUAACUUGGUCUGAUUAGACCGACCUGCUCUGAUACCAAUUGUAACACCCUUUAAUUUUCCCUUGAUUUUAUUUGCGAAGAAUUCAAUUUAGUUUAUUUCAUUAAAGGUGUCACACCUACUUUUGAAUUGAAUACUUAAUUAAAUAAGGAUUAAGCAGCAGAAAUAAAAUUAAAACCAAUAAACAUAAGUUCUAAAAUUUGAAGUCAAAAAUUAUUGAGAGCAAUAGAAUCAUUCCAAAAACCAAUUGACACUGUUCAAGUCAUUUUGAAGAAAUACUAAUUGAAUAUAUACGUGAAUCCCCCAAGACAUCCUAUCAGAGCGACUCAAUUACUGAAACAGCAAGGGACAAGCUCCCCGAACUCGGCAACUAUGACUCAUCGCCUACCUGAAAAUCUACGGUUGCACACCGUAGGGCCAAGCCAGAAAAAGGAAGCAACAAGGGGUCAAUAAUACAAUCACAAAGAAUAUCACAAACGAGCACAAUUAUUAAAAUAAAACAAUAAGUCAGCAAUAUCAACAUCCAUUCCAAUUUUUCAUCAUGUAGGAUCAACACCAAUUACAAAUUUCAGUUUUAUAUCAUGGAGGAUCACCACCAAUUUCCAGUUUUAUAUCAUGGAGGAUCACCACAAAUUUCCAGUUUUAUAUCAUGGAGGAUCACCAACAAUAGUUCGGCAACGUCAAUUGCAACGAUAUAAAUUCAACACAAAUAGAGACAUCAUGAUUUCAACAUCAGUACGUCAACAUGGUUUAACAUCAUUAACAACAGCUACAACCCACAUCAUAAGUCAACGGCUUAAAAUCAUCGGUUUAACUAAUAACUAUUAUUUAUAGAAUUUCAACGGUUUAACCCUCUCCCACUACUGUCAAAAUUAAUUAGAGUGAUUUAUUAACUCUACUNNNNNNNNNNNNUAAUAAAAGAAGGGUUACUCAAUUAUUAAAUUUUUGUCACAACCAGACCUAAACAAACCCCCGGAAGUUAUUUAUUAAUCUCUGGAAAGCAAGGAAAAGGUUUAAUUGUCGAUCUCGAUACAAAAUCAGGAACAUUGUACUUUUCCUUAAGUUAACAAACUUGAUGUAAAAAUCCUGUGAUAGAGCAGUUAGGUUCACAGAGCUACUGAGACAUGUAGGUAAGUGCUAAAAUUAUGAAAUUCGACAUACAUAAACUACUAUAUGUCCUCUUUCAAACGCAANNNNNNNNNNNNNNNNNNNNNNNNNNNNNNNNNNNNNNNNNNNNNNNNNNCCCUAGCUUAAGAUAUCAAUUUUCGAAGCUGACUGACUCAUAGGAGAUUAUAAAACAGAACUGUCAUUUUCAUAGUAUCACAAAACCAUGCACAAGUUAUAUUAAGCCCCCAAACCUUCCAGUAAUAUACUACUACUUCGUGUAUGUUUGGUUUCAAUUCUGGAGCAUCCAGAAUUGAUUCUGGACGUGUAGAAUUGAUUCUGACUUGUUUGGUUUCUCAAAAGUAGAAUUGAUUCUGCCUCCAGAAUNNNNNNNNNNNNNNNNNNNNNNNNNNNNNNNNNNNNNNNNNNUAUCCAAACAUAAACCACUUCAGCUUAAAAUCAAUUUUGGCCAGAAUCAAUUUUACAGAAUCAAUUCUGCCAAAAUCAAUUCUCUCCGCCGCAGAACCAAACACACGCUUCUUAGCUUUCAGACCCAAUUGGGUUCACUCAAAAAUAUGUUUCCUAACUCAAGUUAUACCCAAUUUAAUCCAACUACAUCAUAAUCUCCUUAUGCAGAAAAUUACCCUAACUUCUCUCUUUCUUUCAUAAUAUUGUAUAUCACACGAAUCCAAUCAACAUAGCAGAGCACAAGAAUUCACACUUUAACAAAGCAUGAACAACAACAACAACAACACUUGUGAAGAAAAGGAAGAAACAAUCAACUCAUACUAUAAAAAAUUUAGAAACUUAGAUGAAACAUUAAACCCCUUACUUAGAAUAGCAAUUAAUGUUUGGUUGUGAGUUUUGUUUUCCUCUUCUUUCUCUUCUCCCUCUCGUGCGUCAAUCUCUCUUUCUCCCUUGCUCCUCUAUAUAUUCUGUUUUUCUCUUCUCUUUUUUUUUUUUUUUUAAAAAAAAGUGGAUAGAUUUCAACUUUGUUUCUAACUUAGUCUAGUGGUUUCCUCCACAAGAAGGAAAAAUUCUGCUUUUAACUAUUCAUGGGUUUUCUUUCUACUAGGCCCAAUUUCAUUAUUUCUACUACUCUUUCUUACUCACACCCCCUCUCCACCUAUUAUAUUAUUUCUACAACCCCGUCUACUUUUUCUUCACUUUAUUUUCAACUUAUCAUUUUACUCAUUUAUUCAUCAAUUAUUUAAUUACUCAUCACACACAGUUAAAUAAUUAACAAUAAUCAACACAACAACUCCUACGAAAAUUAUUAAUUAAUUCUAAAUUCGGGGCGUUACCUUAACUUCCCAAGCAAUGUUAUUAGAACUUGUGAUGUAAGUUGAUCUGGUUAAGGCAUAGUCUUUUGAGUCAAUCUGGUGAGGCAGCGGGGUUAAGAAUUAAGA
RNAcentral lists this long non-coding RNA (2745 nucleotides) under Trifolium pratense (red clover). RNAcentral's name for it is "long non-coding RNA (TPRA_LNC002606)". The record is from RNAcentral. Lineage: Eukaryota; Viridiplantae; Streptophyta; Magnoliopsida; Fabales; Fabaceae.